This is a long non-coding RNA of Grammomys surdaster, 1097 nucleotides long. RefSeq lists it as uncharacterized. The record is from RefSeq and is a predicted model, not a curated record. Lineage: Eukaryota; Metazoa; Chordata; Mammalia; Rodentia; Muridae. The transcript is spliced from 2 exons.
UCUAGGAUCCGGGCGGGUGCGGGUUCUGUCGUUUCUCAGCUUCGGGUCUAAAGCCAAUUAACACCUGCCUCGGGGACCUAGGUUAGUUAGUUGGCUCUGCCCAGACAGCGCCUUGACUGUUGCAUGAGGCUUCUGUCACGCGCCUUGGGGGUCAGCUCAAGGAUGGCUUUUGUCAUCCUCACAGAAAGAAGUUCAGUUUUCUCGGCCUUAGAAGAUCGCGCUUUGGUGGAACAAAACAUUAAAACAACCCUGAUAGGGUCGCUGCGGAGAAGGUAUUCAGCUGAACGCCUCUCAGAGCAGGCCCUGCGGAGCAAUACUGCUGAGCUCUCCAGUAGGAAGGCCAUGAACACAUCUGGUUGAUAGAAGUUGUAGAACAUCUCAGGAAGAGGUGUCGUUUGGGCCAGACCUUACAGAGGCUAAGGUGAUUUCAACAAACAGGAAAUGAGAAGACAGAAUAUUCCAGUCUCGGGAAAGGUGCAAGGUCUUGCUGUAGACAUUUGUUUCAGCCACUACUCGUGACACAUUUACUGCAGGUGACACUUCUUUUUGCUGGAAGGAGAAGAGUAAAAGUAACAUUGAGAGGAAGUGGAGAAGGAUUGGAAUUCUCAAGCUCAGUGCCUGGAAAAGCAUUCUUGUGGAGUCAGAGAGCACGCAGGCAGCUGCAGAUGUGUUUCACGUAUCAAGACUCUCAGAAAAUAAACUCUGCAACAGGCCAAAGAAGAUGACCUAACACCAUCUAUCCCUGGACUGAGAAACCAGAUGUAAAAGAAUAUCCACGCUAUCUCACUUAAGCAGCUGCCUGUCCUGAGUAUUGCCAUUAGUACCCGAAGAAUGGAGAAGGAAAGACAGAUUUCAAGACCAGUGAUGUCUUGGAUAAUCAGCACGUAGUUAUGUAAUUAUAGGAAUUCAAGGCUUAUAGGCUUAAGUAAAACUGCUUUUGAAGUAUAGAAAUUAGUGGGUAACCCCUGUAAGGAAUCUGAUUUUUUCCCCUUUCUGGCAGUACCAGGGAUUGAACCUAAGACUUCACAAAUCCUGGGUAGGCACUGAACCACUAAGCUACAGCCCCACCCCUAUGAAUAUAUUUUUUUAAAGCACAA